This 422-nucleotide ribosomal RNA is filed under the name uncultured bacterium. RNAcentral's name for it is "bacterial SSU rRNA". It matches the Rfam family "Bacterial small subunit ribosomal RNA", at positions 355 to 774 of the family's 1533-position model. The record is from RNAcentral. RNAcentral also lists the same sequence under 1 other name.
UGAGGAAUAUUGGUCAAUGGGCGCAAGCCUGAACCAGCCAUCCCGCGUGAAGGAUGAAGGUCCUAUGGAUUGUAAACUUCUUUUAUACAGGAAGAAAAAUCUCUACGUGUAGAGACUUGCCGGUACUGUAUGAAUAAGCAUCGGCUAACUCCGUGCCAGCAGCCGCGGUAAUACGGAGGAUGCAAGCGUUAUCCGGAUUCAUUGGGUUUAAAGGGUGCGUAGGCGGCUCUUUAAGUCAGUGGUGAAAUCCUGCCGCUUAACGGUAGAAUUGCCAUUGAUACUGAAGAGCUUGAGUACAAUUGAGGUAAGCGGAAUGUGUAGUGUAGCGGUGAAAUGCUUAGAUAUUACACAGAACACCAAUUGCGAAGGCAGCUUACUAAACUGCAACUGACGCUGAUGCACGAAAGCGUGGGGAGCGAACA